UGUGGGUGUGUUCAUAGUAUUUUUCUUUGUAGAAUUUCAAGAUUUAACACCGGUGGAUUUAAUCUUUUUGCUUAAAAUUGCUGCUGUUGUGAUACAAUAAAAUUUAUAUUCACAAUUUCCAAUUUGACAAAAUACUUUAUUGCCCUGUGUUAUUUUUUGUGAUAAACAUAUGAAGACACAAAAACAACCACACAUGCCUUACCCAUUUAGAUAAGCAUUUGUAUCCAUGUUUACACAUCUAUCUUAAAUGCUGUCUUGUAAAAUCCAGUGGUUAAUUCCAAGUUUACCAUCUAAUGUGCUAUUAGAUACUCUUUUUUUUUGUGAAAUUGGAUACUUUGCUUACAACUUAAUAAUUUGAUUGCCCCUUUAGUUGCAUAAACUCAGUAAAAUUUUGAGGUUUUAGACACUUAACUGCUGAAUCUCUACGGUUUCUUUUGUUUUGUCCAAUUGUUGUCAUUAUUCUAAUUGGGUAAUUUAAGGUUUUUUACUGUGUUUAUUUAUUUACUGAUUAAUUAGUGGGUCUAAACUCUUAAUUGAAUUGAGGAAAACAGAGAACUAGCAAAGCUUCGUAGAGAACAUGCACCUGUUUCCUGUCAUCCUAUAUUUAUUCCUUCAUUUGGGUAACACAGCUUAAUGAAAUAAAAUUUCAAAAAUAUGUUAAUUUCACGCUUUUGAUUCGAGUUUAACAAUAACAUUUACAUUCACAGUGUAUCUUUUGCUCAGUGGAUAAACAGCUGUAAAUGAGCUUGACUAUGUCAAAUUGAAUGUUUUAGUUCCCACCACCUAUUUGAUAAAAGAUAGUGCAAAACUCCUGCAAUAUGUGUUCAAGCUCUCCCCCUUCUCUUUCUAAUUUAUAUUGUUUCCAUACACUGAAACCAUAACACUAAAUUCCCAAUUUAUUGCCCACAAUGAUGUGUCUUAUAUCUCAUCGAGAAGCUCUCAAGUCCACCGCACUGUCCAACUUUUUUGCCCACUUCAGGUACUGCUUUUAGCAUCAAAAUCCUAUGUAUGUCUAACCUUUCUUCGCAUUUUCAGUUGUUUUAGUGAAAUGAUGUGCAUGAAUUAAUACAACAUAAACUUACAUAGUUUGUGAAUUCAACCAUUGAGGCUUCUAACUGGGUUUUGAUUGUUUCACUGAACUUUUAUACGUUUCAAAUGUUUAAACAUUGACGCUUCUAGCUGAAUUUUCAUUGUUUGGCUAAACUUUUAUGCUUCAUGGUGCCUGUGAAAUAUAAGUUCACCAUUGGUACAUAAUUAAGAUUUGAUUUGAUAUCAUUCAGGUUUGAUUCGUUCAACGCUCUUGAUUGUUUUUUUCAAGCCAACUACUACAUUUUCCAACAAAUUUACAAAGAACAACCAAGCUGGAUUACAGCCAGAUUCCGUCAAAUUAUAUCACUAUUGGUAUUGCAGCUGCCCACCUUACAGAAAUUACAAGAUGUGAUUUAUUUGUGUAAAAUUUUUGGCACCAAAAAGAAAUUAUGGCACUGAGGAAGAAAUUGUGCGAGAGAUCCAAUUUCAAUGGCAAAAUUAUGGACAACUUUGCAAGGUAUUACAGGUCAAAGAUGGACUUAAGGAAGCUAAAGCCUAUGAUUCAAAAGAGAAUCCAAAAUCGAGCUAAAGAUUACCCAGUGCCAGCCAUGGUACCAGUUGCCUAGGAGGUCCUUGAUUCCCGGAGGCUUGUUAUGCAAGGUGUUUCUACUCUCCUCAAAAUGGUACCAGUUUUGGCCUGCAAGUUCUGUCUAGAAGUAUAUAUAGGUGAGAAAGGCCACUUAAUUCAGACUUGUUGUGGCUUCAAACGUCGUGGCAAAAAUUGAGUUCAUGAAUGGAUAGUUGGUGGUUUGAAAGAUGUGCUUGUUCCAGUAGAGACAUUUCACCUCAAGCACAUGUUCCAGGAUGUUAUAAAACACCAUCAGAGGUUUGACUUUGAACGUGUUCCUGCAGUUGUCGAGCUAUGCUGGCAAGCAGGGGCUAAUGAUGGAAAUCAUUUAAAUUGGAACUCUGAAAGUGAUUGUGUUGGCGUUGAUGGAGCUGAGUCUUUGUCAUCUGAUGAACUGAUUCUGGUUGCCAGUGGAACUUUAAGGGCAUGGGAUAUACUUAGAAAUGGCGUGGAGAAGUUGCUGAUGGUUUAUCCAGCAAAAGUCUGUAAACAUUGUUCAGAAAUUCAUGUUGGGCCAUCUGGGCAUAAGGCUAGGCUUUGCGGAAUUUUUAAGUAUGAGAGUCGGCAGGGAACCCAUUUUUGGAGGAAGGCGAAUGUAGAUGAUCUUGUACCUCCAAAGACUGUAUGGCGGCGGCGUCCUCAGGAUCCUCAAGUACUUUUGAAUGAAGGGAGGGGAUUUUAUGGGCAUGCUCCGGCAGUAGUAGAACUAUGUACACAGGCAGGUGCCAUUGCACCUCCAAAGUAUCACUGCAUGAUGAAACUGCAGGGUGUAAGUACCACACUUGGAGAUCAAAGGUUGCUCCACCCGAAUGAUCAAAUGAAAAUGCCGGUUGAUUCGAAGGUAGAAUAUUGAACCUAGCAGAAGCUCCCCAGGACCGUUGGAUCACAGAUGGGUGUAGAAUUGCUUAUAGCUGUAAUGCUUGAUGAUCUGAAAUGGGAAAACGAAACACCUCAAAAGCUCCCUUUAGAUGGUCUGAUCUUCAAUCUUGAGAAUGAUUGUAACAUCAGAUGACUGACAACGGAGUUCAAGAUGGGUUGCAAAAUCAACUGAACGCGUAUUGCCCCUUUCAGUUGGAGCAUGAAAGAGAUGAUCGAAUUUGUAGCUUUGCUUUAGCAAUGCACGCAGAAACAGGAACGUGGAAAUUUAAUUAAGCUUUUCUUGUAUUUAAUGAUGUUUUUAGAUGGGUAAUUCAACUUAAUAAAUCAUUGGAACGCUUAUUACUUAUGCUU
Malus domestica (apple) is the source of this 2887-nucleotide non-coding RNA. The record is from RefSeq and is a predicted model, not a curated record. Lineage: Eukaryota; Viridiplantae; Streptophyta; Magnoliopsida; Rosales; Rosaceae.